AAUUUUGGGUCAGUGGCCAGCAUCAAUCCCGGCCUGGGAUACUGACAUUCUGUCCCAAUGACAGCUCUCUCUGCCAAUCUUAGAUUCUCCAGCAGCAUUUUAAUAUGACUUGGAUGUGACAGAUGUACAUGCUUUUGUGCCCAGACUUUGUCUUGGAAAGGAGGACAUUGUCUUUUGGAGAGCAAAGAAAGAAUAAUGAUUGCUAAUGAAAUCCAGAGAGAAAGGCACUCUGAUGGUCUUUAUUUUCCAGAUGAAGAAACUAAGGCAAAGCAAGUCUAAGUAUCUCAGCCAAGGUCUCACAUCUGAUACAUGA
RNAcentral lists this long non-coding RNA (313 nucleotides) under Callithrix jacchus (white-tufted-ear marmoset). RNAcentral describes it as "lncRNA (ENSCJAG00000057611.2)". The record is from RNAcentral. Lineage: Eukaryota; Metazoa; Chordata; Mammalia; Primates; Cebidae.